Molecule: long non-coding RNA, 303 nt
Filed under: Astyanax mexicanus (Mexican tetra)
Lineage: Eukaryota; Metazoa; Chordata; Actinopteri; Characiformes; Acestrorhamphidae
Description: lncRNA (ENSAMXG00005020624.1)
Source: RNAcentral
CGGCUCGGAUUGGGGGAAUGGUGAGGAUUUUAGCAUCAGUGCUAACCUGACAGGAUUAUUCAGCUUUAAAUUUCUGCAUUAUUGAUGUGUAAAUGAUGAGGGCUGUGCAGGCUGGGUUACUGAACACAGAUCUCACUAAGGUAAUCUUUCCCUUUGCUCAGAUGCUAGCAGCUCCUGUUGGCACUGUGGAACAUGCCGGAUGCCAGGGUGUGUCUGAGACUGGGGCACUUCCAUGGUAGGAAGCUCACGGGUCAGGAGGAGGAUGUCCUGUGUUUAUAGAGUAUAUAGAGUUUAUAGAAUGUU